Long non-coding RNA from Osmia bicornis bicornis, 1060 nucleotides. RefSeq lists it as uncharacterized. Lineage: Eukaryota; Metazoa; Arthropoda; Insecta; Hymenoptera; Megachilidae. The transcript has 3 exons. The record is from RefSeq and is a predicted model, not a curated record.
GCAGGAACAGUUUGAAAGUUGGACAACUUUGCAAGUUUUAACGAUGCAUGCAUCACAUUCUACUCGAUACGAACGGAGCGAUAAAGUGUUAUCGAAAUGAGAUUGUUAAGAUAGAUGGGAAAGCAAUGAAGCUAUCAAAGGUGAUGAAUCUCGAUGAGAAAAGUUGCAAGGGAAAAUCCAUAAUCUUUCGACACCGUGAUGAAUUGGACUAACUUCUGUCGAAUGAAAGUUAAUUGCUCCAUCGUUUCUUCGAUACCUCUCCACCGAUUUCAACGAACACGAUACAACGAAGCUAGCGACGCUGGCAGACGGACAGCGAAGAAAACGGAGCCUACGUGGAAAUCUUCGGGACGCCAAGUGAAUUAUUGUCAGUCUAGCCAAGAGAAGAAUAGCGUCGUGGAUCCUUGACACUUUGACAGUCGUCGGGACGCAAGGUAGACGCGCAGGGAAGGAGAAGGGUGGAGCAAAGAGUGGAAAACCGCGACCAUCCCUUUACUCUCGCCUUCCUCCUCCUCGUCUAUACUCGUCAUUGACAGCUGUCAGCCGUCAGCGUUGGAAAGUUUUACGAGGACGAAAGUUGAUAUUGCUGCGCUUGCAGCUUUGCCCCUUCUCACCCUUUCACACCCCCUCACUCGAACGUCCUCUCCUCUUCCAUCGAACUCGUCGAUUUCUCUCGCUCUCUUUCUGUUUUUUUUUUUAAAUAUUUUUUUAUCCCUUUGUGUGCCCUUUCUUUCCGCCACUUUUUGCCCAUACUAUAUUCCGUACGCUUUGCUGCUCUCCUCUCUCUGUUCUCACUUAAUCCAUUUUUUUUUUCAGUUCUCUAUCUAUUUCGAUGUUCUUUUGUGUUCCGAUUAUUUCUCAAUUUUCUAUUGUUUCGUUAGCUGUCCCUUUAUCAAUUGUUCUUUUCCACGCUGUACAAUCGUGUUUCCCGAGAUCGACGUUGUCAUCGCGUGGAUCUAUCCUUUCCUGGUUAUCCUAGUUUUCGUUCCUCUGUGUUUCUACGCUUUUCACAGACAAUGAUAGUUGGAAUUUAAUUUCAGCUUCUACCAGAUUUUCAUUU